Molecule: ribosomal RNA, 474 nt
Filed under: uncultured bacterium
Lineage: Bacteria
Description: bacterial SSU rRNA
Rfam family: Bacterial small subunit ribosomal RNA
Source: RNAcentral
AGAGUUUGAUCAUGGCUCAGAGCGAACGCUGGCGGCAGGCUUAACACAUGCAAGUCGAGCGGGCACUUUCGGGUGUCAGCGGCAGACGGGUGAGUAACGCGUGGGAACGUACCCUUUGGUUCGGAACAACUCCGGGAAACUGGAGCUAAAACCGGAUACGCCCUUCGGGGGAAAAAUUUAUUGCCGAGGGAUCGGCCCGCGUCUGAUUAGCUAGUUGGUGGGGUAACGGCCCACCAAGGCGACGAUCAGUAGCUGGUCUGAGAGGAUGAUCAGCCACACUGGGACUGAGACACGGCCCAGACUCCUACGGGAGGCAGCAGUGGGGAAUAUUGGACAAUGGGGGCAACCCUGAUCCAGCCAUGCCGCGUGAGUGAUGAAGGCCCUAGGGUUGUAAAGCUCUUUCGGCGGGGACGAUAAUGACGGUACCCGCAGAAGAAGCCCCGGCUAACUUCGUGCCAGCCGCCGCGGUAAUUC